Long non-coding RNA from Oncorhynchus keta (chum salmon), 510 nucleotides. RefSeq lists it as uncharacterized. The record is from RefSeq and is a predicted model, not a curated record. The transcript has 4 exons. NCBI's taxonomy places the organism in Eukaryota, Metazoa, Chordata, Actinopteri, Salmoniformes, Salmonidae.
GGUAGCCUAGUGGUUAGAGGGGUGGCAGGUAGCCUAGUGGUUAGAGGGGUGGCAGGUAGCCUAGUGGUUAGAGGGGUGGCAGGUAGCCUAGUGGUUAGAGGGGUGGCAGGUAGCCUAGUGGUUAGAGGGGUGGCAGGUAGCCUAGUGGUUAGAGGGGUGGCAGGUAGCCUAGUGGUUAGAGGGGUGGCAGGUAGCCUAGUGGUUAGAGGGGUGGCAGGUAGCCUAGUGGUUAGAGGGGUGGCAGGUAGCCUAGUGGUUAGAGGGGUGGCAGGUAGCCUAGUGGUUAGAGGGGUGGCAGGUAGCCUAGUGGUUAGAGGGGUGGCAGGUAGCCUAGUGGUUAGAGGGGUGGCAGGUAGCCUAGUGGUUAGAGGGGUGGCAGGUAGCCUAGUGGUUAGAGGGGUGGCAGGUAGCCUAGUGGUUAGAGGGGUGGCAGGUAGCCUAGUGGUUAGAGGGGUGGCAGGUAGCCUAGUGGUUAGAGGGGUGGCAGGUAGCCUGGUGGUUAGAGGGGUG